This is a long non-coding RNA of Dermacentor andersoni, 771 nucleotides long. RefSeq lists it as uncharacterized. The record is from RefSeq and is a predicted model, not a curated record. Lineage: Eukaryota; Metazoa; Arthropoda; Arachnida; Ixodida; Ixodidae.
CCAGCUCUGUGUGAUAGGAUAUCGAGCCACGGCAGUCAAGCUGUAAGGCUGCCUCGUUUUUUGAAAAUGCUGGACGGCCUGGCGUAUCAUUGCUCAUUUAUUCUUCUUUUUCUUGUUUUGCAUUACUUUUUUGUGUUUCUACUUUCUUUGCUCAAGGAGGCAUUCCUGAAUACUAACAAAUUAAAUAUUUAUUCAGUCAUUUCAUCACACUAAUCGAUCUCGAUCUUCAAAAAAUUGCGUUUUUUUUUUCACUUGGCCGUUCACGAAUCUAGCGCUGCCUGCCUCCGCUCCGACAUCGAACCAAUGAACGACCUUAGGACCAAGAGGACGAGAACCUCUGUACAGGUCAGGGGGCGAGUGCCGCCGCCUCAGAUGCAGGCUGGGAGGUCUUGGGUCCCAGCAGCCUCUUCAGCCAGUUGGACGAGCGGGAGCUGGAGCUGAGUCCGAGCUGCGCAGCAGGGUCUCCCAGGUGUUUCUACUACCUAUUUUGUGCGUUCCCCCUGGAGAGCGCGGACAUUCCCAUAUUAUGUGGUCGAGGGUCCCUCUCUCCCCACAAAGAUUACACCUAUCGCUCCUGGCCUCGGGGAACAUGUGGUUCGCCAUAAUCGGGAAACUACGCCUCGAAGGACAGGAUACGAGGCAUCACUGCGCGGAUCAACAGUUCUAAGGUAUCUCCGAGACCAUUUUUCAAGCUUUGCAACGGCAGCGGCAGCGUGGCGAUUUUUUUCCGGCGUUUAAAGAAAUCCCGCGAAAUAUGAAAUAAAACCACGU